This 1236-nucleotide ribosomal RNA is filed under the name metagenome. Its description in RNAcentral is "bacterial LSU rRNA". It matches the Rfam family "Bacterial large subunit ribosomal RNA", at positions 1564 to 2808 of the family's 2925-position model. The record is from RNAcentral.
UGAGUACGAGAUGCUACGGCAUCGAAGCAGUCUAUGUCAUACUUCCAAGAAAAGCUUGCAAUGUCAUAAACAAAUAAUGCCUGUACCAUAACCGACACAGGUGGGUAGGUAGAGUAUACUAAGGGGCGCGAGAUAACUCUCUCUAAGGAACUCGGCAAAAUGACUCCGUAACUUCGGGAGAAGGUGUGCCUUAUUUUUAUAAGGUUGCAAUAACAAGAUCCAAGCAACUGUUUACCAAAAACACAGGUCUCCGCUAAGUCGUAAGACGAUGUAUGGGGGCUGACGCCUGCCCAGUGCCAGAAGGUUAAAGAAGUUGGUUAGCAUUAGCGAAGCUGAUAACUGAAGCCCUGGUGAACGGCGGCCGUAACAAUAACGGUCCUAAGGUAGCGAAAUUCCUUGUCGGGUAAGUUCCGACCCGCACGAAAGGCGUAAUGAUUUGGAUACUGUCUCGGAGAGGGGCUCGGUGAAAUAGACUUGUCUGUGAAGAUGCGGACUACCUGCACCUGGACAGAAAGACCCUAUGAAGCUUUACUGUAACUUGAGAUUGAAAUUGGACUUUAUCUGCGCAGUAUAGGUGGGAGACGUUGAAAAUAUUCUUGCGGGAAUAUUGGAGUCAUCAGUGAGAUACCACUCUUAUAAUGUUAGAUUUCUAACUUUGUAUCAUUAUCUGGUCAAAGAACAGUUUCAGGCGGGCAGUUUGACUGGGGCGGUCGCCUCCCAAACGGUAACGGUGGCGCACAAAGGUUUCCUCUGAACGUGUAGAAAUCGUAUCUAGAGUGUAAAGGCAUAAGGAAGCUUGACUGUGAGACCUACAAGUCGAGCAGGGACGAAAGUCGGUCUUAGUGAUCUGACGGUGCUGAGUGGAAAGGCCGUCACUCAACGGAUAAAAGUUACUCUAGGAUAACAGGCUGAUCUCCCCCAAGAGUUCACAUCGACGGGGAGGUUUGGCACCUUGAUGUCGGCUCAUCGCAUCCUGGGGCGGUAGUACGUCCCAAGGGUUGGGCUGUUCGCCCAUGAAAGCGGUACGCGAGCUGGGUUCAGAACGUCGUGAGACAGUUCGGUCCAUAUCCGGUGUAGGCGUUAGAAUAUUGAGAGGAGCCUUCUUUAGUACGAGAGGACCGAGAAGGACAUACCUCUGGUGUACCAGUUAUCGUGCCAACGGUAAACGCUGGGUAGCCAUGUAUGGAGAGGAUAACCGCUGAAAGCACCUAAGUGGGAAGCCCACCUCAAGAUAAG